UUUUUCCUGUUCUGAUUCUGUGAUCCUUCUAGGAUACAUUAUUUUAAAACAGAAUUGCUACUCUUUCUUUCCUUUUUCUAAAUAAAUAAAGGGCUAGUAAUAAGUUCUUUCUGAUUACUUAAAACUUUUAUAUCCUCUUAUUCAAUUUUAGUAACUAAAAUAAGGAUACUGGAUUAAUGAUCAAGUAAAAUGGGAAGAAUAUUUGAGGAAGUUGAAAAGCAUUUAAAUUCACUUUGCAUUUUUAUUUUGUUACAGAGAACAGAGGUUACAUAAAUAACAUACAGACUUUGAAAUCAGAAGCUUAUGAAUUUUAAACUAAUAUAUAUUAAUGCAAAUGAUGGACAAAAUAUACAUGCUAAGAAAAGGAAACAAUACUUUUCCCUACCACAGUGUUCUAAUGCUUAAUAAAAGCUUUUAAUUAAAUAGAAAGUCUGGAACGCCCUAGGUUUAUAAAAUACCUUUCAACCAAAAUGUUAGGUAUACUUAUAUAAAUUGUGUCUGUUUCAAAUGCCUUUUUUGACCUGCCCCAAGAAGUUAAUGAGGGUAGAUAAUUUUGCGAUCAAGCAAACAGGAAGAGAUACAGUCCAGAAAUAUUAUUAUAAUAUACUCUAUGAGAGGC
This 619-nucleotide long non-coding RNA is filed under the name Bos taurus (domestic cattle). RNAcentral describes it as "long non-coding RNA NONBTAT000172". The record is from RNAcentral. Lineage: Eukaryota; Metazoa; Chordata; Mammalia; Artiodactyla; Bovidae.